Molecule: long non-coding RNA, 3431 nt
Filed under: Cucumis sativus (cucumber)
Lineage: Eukaryota; Viridiplantae; Streptophyta; Magnoliopsida; Cucurbitales; Cucurbitaceae
Description: long non-coding RNA (CSAT_LNC002295)
Source: RNAcentral
AUGGAGCCCAAAUGGUCCUGUCAAAGUUAGCCCUCCCAAAUUUUUUGCUAUCUCACAAAUUCAACUAUUAAAGAAGAUUGGAAUGAAAAUAUUGGUGAUUGAGAUUUAAAGUCGAGAAGAUCACUUUAUGAGAGAGAACAAAAUAUGUGGGACUCUAGAAAAGCCUCUCUCUCCCUACUCCAAAUGAUAACAGAGGUACGCAUAUUCCUAUCUAGAAAAAUAAUGGAAAUGGUUUUUUCUCUAUUGCCUCUGCUAAAGAAACUUUGUAUUCUUCAAGUAUCAAAAACAUUGACAUGUUGACCUACAAAUCUCUAUGAAAUUUGAAGAUUCCCCAAAAAUGCAAAGUCUUCAUGUGGACUGUGGCCACGUGCCCGAGACGACACGGAGCGGUUGACGUCCUCAAAAGAGCUAUUUUUAAAAGAAAAUAAGAGUCGUCACCAAUCUUUUUUACGGUGUGAUUGGACACCGAAAUAAAGUAAGCAAUUAAAAAAAAUAGUCUGCGAAAAAAUAGAAUUGAGUUCGGGAGUCAUUUGUGUGUGGAGAAGCUAUUACACCCCAAAACACCCAUUUAGAUAAACGGUGUCCAAAUUUCAAAUCUUGAAUUGAAAAUAUUUUUAAAUUUAUUUUUAAACUAAUUUCUUAUUUCACCCCUCAUUACUCUAAUAUUUGAAGCAAUGAUCUCAUAAAAUAAGUGGAAUAAUAUUCCAUUAAUUAAGACUACAUAUUUAAGAAAAGUUUUUCACCUUAAGAAAAUGAGAAAUUAUUACAAUUUUUCAAAAUCUAUCAUAGGCUAGUCUUUGAAUAAAGAUUUUUUUAAACAUUAAUUAAAUUUAUUUUUUCUUGAGAUCAAAUAUCGAACUUCCAAAGAUAUUGAUCCCUCAUCUAAAGAAUCUAGAAAUAACGGACUUCCAAAAUGUUCUAGAUUUUAUCGUAUGAUUUUUUUUUAGGAAAACGGUAUAAGUUUUACAAAAGAUUGGUUUAAGAAACCUUAUGAAAUCAUAUGUUAAAUUUUGAAAGUUAAGUUUUAAAAAAGCAUAAAACAUUUAUAGCAUUAUAGACGGAUUUGCUAAAUGAUUUUUUUAAAAAAAGUCUUUAUUUCAAAACAUAAAGAAUUUUAAAUUGAAAGGAUUUUAAAACAUUAAAAAAUUUAAAUACAAAGAGUUACCAUCUAACCAUAAUUAUUAUAAUAAUGUGAAUAAUUUAAAGAAAGGAAAACAUAAUGAAGUAAACAAAAUAAGGAGAGAAACAAAAAAAAGUAGUGAUACGAACAAAUAUAUAUAUAUAUAUAUAUAUAAAGUAAUAAUAAUAAGAUAAUUAAUAGAGAAUAAAUAAUAAUAUAAAAAGAAUAUCAACAACGACAACAAGUAUAGUAAUAUUAUAAAGAAAACACUAAUAAAUAUAAAUAUAAGUACAAUAACAAUAAUAUAUAUAUUAAUAAUAAUGACAUAAUUCUAUAUUGCUCAUUCCUUCUCUCCAUAUUUUUAGAGAGAAGAAAAUAAAUAUGAAAGAGUUAAAAAAAAUCUUAUGCCUUUUUCUUUUUCUCUAUUAUUUAGGGAGAAGAAAAAGAGUGAGGUUUUUUUUUUAUAAAAAUAACAAUAAAAGUAAAAGAAAGCCUAAAAAAAACUUUAAAACACCUUAUACAAUUUUUUCUUUCUCUCUAUCUUUAAAGAAAAAAAGAAAGAAAAAAAAAUCAAAUCCCAAAGAAAAUUACAGUAUGCAACCUCUAACAAAGUCUAUAUAAAUAAAAAAAAGUACAGAAACCUCUAACAACUUUUCUCUUAAGAUUUUUUUUGUAAGAUUUUUUUCUCCAAAAUUUUUUGUUUCAAAAAACUCUUCUUCCUUUUUCAAAUGAAAAGGUUCCUAUUUAUAGACCCGGGUGUACCAUCAAUUAGAAAAAAAUAAGAAGAAUAAAAUCUAUUUUUGAUAUUAUAUUAAUAAUGUAAAUUUCAUUUUCCUAAAAUAAACAAAUUAAAUUAAAUGAAAUAUUUUGAGAUUUUGUGAAAAAUUAAUAAAUAAAUUAAAAGAUUUUUUUUUGUUUAAAAUUGAUUUUCUUUUUUUCCUAAAAUGAUAUAAAUUAAGUUAAAGAUUUUAUUAAUUUUUUCUUUCUAAAAUGAGUAGAAAUAAGCUUUUAAAACAUAUUUUAUAUAAACUAAAUAAUUUGUUUGAUAUUAAAAGAUUUGAUGGAUUUGUUUUUAAAACCAUAGAAAUGAGAUAAUAUAAUAUGUUAUUACUAUUUUUUUUUUAUCCUUUUUUCAAAAAUAAAUAAAUAAAAAUUUAGUCAUUAUUACUAACAUUAUCUUUUUAAAAAAAUAUUAGUAGGAUAACAAUAAGUGGCUACAUGUACCAUAUUUCGGGAUGAUAUCUUCACUUGUGAAAAGCUUCAAAAUACGCUUAAAAAUCAUUGCCUCAGCCCAAGUUGAUGUAUCCUCUCUAAAAGAUAAUGAAAAUGCAGAUCACUUGAUCUUCAUCCAUUGCAACUUUGUAAAUUUUCUUUGGAAGAAAAUAGAGCUCUACACAGGUUGGAAGCAUACUAGCACGAACUGUCUUAGCCAAUGCUAGAAACUUUGCUCCAUUAAUACAAAGCAGAAGAAAAAGGCACUAUCUUUUUCAAUAUGGUGUGGCUACUUUUGGAGCUAUUUGGUUGGAGAGGAACAACGAAAUCUUCAACAACAAAAGUGCAAACACUUCAAAUAUAAGGGAUAACAUACCAACUUCAAUAGCUCUUGUUCUUCCAAAAGUAAACUUUUUUCGGAUUAUUCUCCUUAUGUUAUUGUUCUAAAUAUUAAUGCUUUUACUUAAUUGUUUUCUCCCUUACUAGCUCUUGGUCUUCCAUAAUCCAACUUUUUUUUUGGAUUAUUCUCCUUCUGUUAUUGCUCUAAAUUGUCAUGCUUUUACUUAAUUGUUUUCUCCUUAUUUGGGCUUAUCUCUAUCCCUUUUUUGGAUCAUCAUGUUCCUUGCGCUUCAUUGAAUUGAAUAUACGGAGACUGAUGAGGGUGCUAUAAGGGUGCCCACCUAGUGGAGAUGCUUGGGUGCGUCUUUUGACCCAAAUCGUAUCAUUUUUUCUAAAAAAAAAAUAACUAGUACGUGAUUAGCAAGUUCUCUGUGCAUUUGAUGUGUUCAGUAUCACAGACUGUAAACUUCAUAAGAGCAUGGUAACACAAGAGGUUGGGAGAGACUAACUGACUAAUAAAAUUAGGAGGAUCACACUUAGAGGGAGUAUGUUAUGUGUGAUGUGGAGUACAACUAAGGAAUAGUCAAUCAAAAGGGAUCAGUUUUCACGGAUUGGCUCAGUCUACUUUAAACAAAAUAAACAAAAUAUCUAGAUGAUAUUAUUUCUAAUAAACUUUGUGCUUAUGAACUAUCUUGAAUUUAAUAUAUGACUUUCUCACUCGGCCAAAAGCCCUCUAGAUGUAGGUGAUGUUGAAUCGAAC